UAAACUUUUAUAGUAUUUCACUUACCCUGAAAAUAAUCUAUUAAAAUAAUAAUUAA
This 56-nucleotide transfer RNA is filed under the name Lycosa singoriensis. Its description in RNAcentral is "tRNA-Val". Lineage: Eukaryota; Metazoa; Arthropoda; Arachnida; Araneae; Lycosidae. The record is from RNAcentral.